This 8993-nucleotide long non-coding RNA is filed under the name Nicotiana tabacum (common tobacco). RNAcentral's name for it is "long non-coding RNA (NTAB_LNC010501)". The record is from RNAcentral. Lineage: Eukaryota; Viridiplantae; Streptophyta; Magnoliopsida; Solanales; Solanaceae.
UUAAACCUUAUCCCCAUAUAAAAACCUAAUAUCAUCCAAACCCUAAACCUAAUCUCUCUCCCAAACGGCGCCCUCACCUUCCCAGCCCACUGUCGUCUCUCCAACUCGCCGGAAUGGGCGAGUCCGCUCACCCGAGUCCCAUGGUCCUCCCCUCUCAUCUUCUCCUUCCUCCACGUACCAAUAUAACAAACUCAGAAUAUUCUCUAAUGAUUUCACCCAAAUCGAAUCCGCCUUCUCCCUCACGCGCUUUGAUUUUCUUGAACAAAUCUCGGAUAAAUGGGAGCGAUUGGAUGUGAGUGAAAGCCGAUCCACGCCUUCCAUUUUUUUUUUUUUGCUUUAUGAAAUUUUCGGGAGUUUUCAGUUUUUUGAAGUUAUUUUGGGAGAUUUCUUGCAGGAGAAGAAUAGAACCUUCGAGAGUUCAUAAAAAUACUCCCAUUUGGAGGAUUUUCAGCCAGCCGAAGGGUUGAAAAAAAAAUUAGGGUUCUAAGAGUGAGUUCUUCUUCUCAUUUGGUCCAUCUUCAAUUAAGUUUAAGUUCCACAAAAGCAAAAAUACAAAAAAAAACUAGGGUUUUAGGUUCUCCUUUAAUCUUCUUCUGAUUUUCGAUAUAGCUGAUUCACAUAUAUUAAAAAAAAUGAGUUCUGUUUUCAUUUGAUAAGUGAAAAAAUACAAAAGAUUCUGGGUUCUUCUUUUACACAUUUUGGUUCAAGAAUGAAAUGGAUGUUAGUUGAGGUUUGAAGCCGAUUUGGGUUGCCGUCCGUUGUUCGAAACUCGUGGUUCCUGUUCGAUCUAGCCGUUGUAUUCUCGAGUGGCCUUUUGAAUUUGAAGCUUUGUAGCUGAUUGCUUUGAUUCUCUAUUAUUAAGAAGAAAUUUGCACUCAGGUUCAUAUCCUAUCUCUUCUUUUAUCUAAAGUAUGACUGAGACUAUGAUGAGACUUUAGGAUUAAAACAAAUUUAAGUGUUUAGAAUCUGUCUGUUUUCGAGAUGUUGAAUGUGUUCUACUUUAGUUCUUUUGAAUUUGCCUUGCUCGUCAUGUUGAGAUUAAGCGUGUGUUGCAUCUCGGAAACUUUGUUGUGAUAUUUUCUGCUUGAUCUCAAUCGUAUUCAUUUGGUUUAAGAUGUUGGCGCUGCCAUCUUCCUUGCUCUUUCAGUCUUGCUUAAAUUGUCCUUGGUCUGAAGAUAAUAGUGAUAUUUGAGUAGUAUAGAGUGAUCCUAUUUUCGGCAGGAUCGAGUAUGUGUGAUUAUAAUAUCACCUUGAUUCAUUGGUUUGCAUUUGUUCCUUGAAUUUUGACAUAAAAGCGCCCUGAAAGUUUUCAUCAUAUUUGCCUCAAAGUUAAUUUGCCAUUUUCGGAUCUCCUAGCUUAUUAGAGGUGAUGUGAAGCUAGUUUUGGAUUACCAUUGGAGUUGAAUUUUCUUUUCCCUUUUAGUUCAUAAAUAUAGGAAUCUAGUCCUUGAUUGAAUGCAAAUAAAGUGCUACAGGAUAUUAGCUUAGCAGAAUAGGAAUUCUUGUGCCAUGAGGAUUAUGUGCUUCCUCUUGUUCUAUUGGCAUUCUUUCCUCCCAUUAAUUUGGUUACUAAUGUUAUUACAUUGUCUCAGUGUGCUUGUCUGGCGCCUUUUAGGAUAGUAUAGGAACAAGUGAUUAACUUAGAUGACAGAGUAUAAUUUAGGCUUGAAAAGUGAGGUUUAAAGGAUCUGAGACUAUCAAAUGGGGUUGGUAAGAAAUCUGACAAUUGGUUUUUCCCAAAUUCACGUUGUUUUUUCAUUUACGUUUCAGUUUAUUGUUAUAUAGUUUUAGUUAGUUGCUUAUUUAUAUCCUUUGAAUGUUUUAAACUCUCGUUGGUGGAAUGUCUAAAGUCUUUGUUUGUGUGCACAGUUUAUGUGAUUCUUUAUGUGGACGAUUCGAAUGAAUUAUUGUGAAUGAUAUAGGGUCAUGGGAAUUGGGAAAAGAUCGACCCCACUGGAAUUUAAUCAAACCACGUGCAUUAGGAAUGGGUUCGGUCUCAAUACAUAGAAAAUGAAAAGUUAAAAGGAGGGUGAGCAUGAAGUGAAUUUUGUUUGCUAUAGUUUAUUUUUACUUUUACUCUUCUUAUUUAAUCGCUAAUAGUAUGCUUAGGCCCACCACGCUAGGGUAGGCAAGCCUUAGAAUUUUUGUUAGUUUUGAGGUGGGAGGUCGUUCCCUUAGUUAAAUUUAUCCGGGGAAAGCCUAGAAGAAUUUUGUGUUUAUUUUCCUUUUCUAUGAUUUUACCUCAACUUGAAUAUUUUAAGAGCCGACUAGAUCAAGUAUGCAUCCGUACUAGUUACAGGACUUAGGGAGUGCCUAACACCUUCUCCCCGAGACAAAUGAAUCCCCUUACCUAAAAUCUCUGGUGCCGACUUAGUUUUGAGUCCAAAGUGUUUUAAAAGGAAAAUUAUUUCUAAAAAGACGGUGGCCUGGCACACCGAAAUCAAAUGCCAGGUGGCGACUCUAAAAAAUCUUUUGAAACACAAUAUUCUUUGUCACUUUUAAUUAAAAACCCUUUUUGAGCUUUAAAAUCUUUUUAUAUAUUUAAGAGGGUAAGUGAGUUGUAAAAAAGGGGGUGUGACAUUCAUUAUUGUAAUUUUCUCUUUCUUUCUUUUCUUUUGACUGAUAUAUCUCCAUUUCACAUAUAGGCCAUCAUAAAGUUUAGAGCUGAGCUGAGCCAAUGUGAGGCCGAGCUCAGGAAAGUUUCGGGCGAAGAAAAGGCCCUGAGGCUCCUCUGUAGCCCAAAAGGAAGAGGAGAUUAAGGAUCUCCGGACCGCAUUGGCCAAAGUUCAAAAAAGCGAGUACAAGCUAGAUGAGCAAGUAACUGUGAUUUUAACAGAGUACGGCCUUCUUGGCCCUACUUUAGAGGCUAACACUUCGAUAUAUCUGCUGCAGCAAAAGCUAGAGAUGAUUGGGCAGCUCCGGGGCGAGGUUGAUCAAGUUAAAGUUGAUUGUCAUCAGUGGAAGAAGAACAUGGAUCAACUUGCUGCCGAUAAGGAAACUGUUACAGCCCAACUGGCCUCGGUUGAACUCAACUCCGAGACAUUAAAGAGAAGGGUCUGGCUCAGGCCAAUAAGAUCGAGGAGUUAGAGGCUGAGGUCGCUAGAGCCCGGGUCGAAGUUGUACAGGCUAAGGCUGAAGCUGAGAAGACGAAGGCUGCGGUUGAUAAAUCCAUUGCCAUAUACUUAAGGGACGUCGUGGCCGUUCAAGAUGAGUUGAGGGAGGCCUCCGACUGUGGAAAAUGGAGCAAUGAUUUGGCUAAGUUCCAAGCGCGAAGGGAGAUUCUUGAAGAAAUCCAUGCCCGAGGGUUCAACCUUGCCGAGGAGAUAGCCGAGGCAAAGGCGUGGGAAAUCGAUAUCAGGUUUCUUGGCUCCUCCGAUGAUGAGGAUGUAGCGAGUGGCUCCGGGGACGAGGAAGGUGAAGAAGAUGUUCCCGAGGGAGAUGAAACUCCCAAAGAUAGAGCUGUUGAAGAUGCAGUUUCCGAAGAUGACGUUCCCGGGGGUGUGACCCCGAAAAUAGAUUAGGUUUUCUUUUUUGUGAAAGUUCCCCUUGUGGGCAUUGUAAAUAUGUUUUGUAAACUUCCCUUGUGAAUAUAAAUUAUCUUUUUGUUCUAUCCUCGACUUGUGUUGAAUUUUAUUUUGUUCCCGUUUGUGAAAGAUUUCGAUAAUUCAAAUACUCAACUCGACUAUCGGUUUGGACUUAUAAUGUAAUAAACCCUUAGGUUUUUAUUGCUCAAUAUAAUACCCCUUAAGGUUUUAGAUAAUCCUCGAGCUAAGCUUAAAUCAAUUCGAUGCAAGCUCAGAACAAUGGGACUCUUGGGUCCGAGUUGAGUGAGAACAAGGUCUCGGACUCUUAUAUGCUUUUGGUCCUUAAGCUCUUUUAAGCUGGCCCUAAGGCUCUUAUAUAUCGAACUUUAGGCUCUUUUAAAAUUAUCCCCUAGACUCUUUAAGUUGGGCCGUUUCGGCCUCUAAAAUGGUUGUAAUUUUUUCCUUCUUUUCAGCUAAAAGACUUAGUGAAAGUUUAGUUAUGCCUUAGCAUGUGUUUUUAUACCCGUUGGGUUUUUCGAAGGUCCGACGUAUCGGAAGCUUAUUAGUAAUUUGUUUGUGUAAACAUAAUCGAAUACCUCUUGAGAUUUUCCUGAAGGCUGAUGUUAUCAAAGCCUUUGGAUUAUUCGAGGGCUGAAUUUAUUGAAGCCCUUAGAAUUUUUUGGGGGCUGAAUUUAUCGAUGCCUUUUAUAUUUUGCUUUUGUCGAGGGUAGCCUGAUUUAACCGAUUUUUCAAUGUUUGAAGGCCUUUAAUUUAUAGCAGAAGUCUGACGUCUCCGAACCGCAUUAUUUUGGCCGUAGCUUUUAGUAUGGCCGUAGCCUUCGGGUUUGUCACUUGGACUUGUUUCCAGAUAACUUUCCGAACUUGUUCGAAAAAGUUAGUCCCUGCGUAUAUUGGCCUUAGCCUUUGUUUCGAAGGGGUGCCUCUUUGAGGUCUUGUGAGUUCGAGUUUUUGAUAACUCGGGUGUACUGACUGUCGAUGACAGUCCCCGAGUAUUCAGGGGUGCUUUUAUGCUCUGGCUCUUGAGCAGUUUCCCGUAGGAUUAUAAGUGUAAGGCUCGUAUAAUAGUAGACUUCUUUGAGACAUAAAGUGUUUUUGACAUUAACAGAAUACUUCUUCAAAUAAUUGAUACAUGUUUUGUCGUCGGGGCUCGACUAUUCUAUACGGAUACGGUUCAUCUGACCGUUUGGUCCAUUACAAAAUUUUCCUAUCGAGGCCCUCCUAGGCGUGAAGUAUUUUUCUUGAAAAUAUAACCUCCGAGUGUGAUGCCCCCCCAGUAUUCGAGGUUGAUUAAAAAUAAGCCUCGGAUAUUGUUGAGUUCUCCUGAGGUAGCACAUAGUUGUUGCCUCGUUAAAAACCUUGCCAGUAAAACCCAUUUGGAACAAAAUCCGAUUUAAGGGAAAAAGAGUGCAAUACAUGCUUUAAAACCUAAGGCCUUCGUAUAAAAGGGGUGUCUUCGAGAUCGCGUGCCUUCGAUAGCUUUGACCGAAAGUUUGUAACAAGUUAGUUUUAAACUCAAAUGCGUAAAAAGAUAAAGUCAUACCUCAGCAGUAGUAUCGUUUGAGCAAUGAUAUAUUCAAAUUGUUUGGCAGUUUUUCACCUUCCAUCGUGCUAAGGUUGUAAGAUCCUUUACCGACGACUCCAAGGACUUGGUACAUCCUUCCCAAUUCGAGCCUAGUUUCCCUUCAUUCGGGUCUCGAGUGUUGAGGGUGAUCUUUCGUAGAACUAAGUCCCCGAUUCCAAAAUGUCGAAGGUUGGCUCUUCUAUUGUAGUAUCUUUCGUUCCUUUGCUUUUGCCAGGAUAUCCGAACAAGCGAUGCUUCUCGCUUUUCAUCUAAUAACCCAAAGCUGGCAUUCAUGGCCUCAUGAUUUGACUCCUCUGAUGCAUGUAUAAACCUAGCUCUGGGUUCUCCAACCUCGAUGGGGAUGAGGGCCUGAGCCAUAUACUAGAGAAAAUGGGGUGGCCCCCGAGCUAGACUUCGAUGUCGUUUGAUAUGCCCAAAGGACCUCGGGUAAAACUUCUCUCCAUUUCCCUUUUGCGUCGUCCAGUCUUUUCUUCAAGUUUAGAAUGAUAGUUUUAUUUGUUGACUCAGCCUGUCCGUUUCUAGUUGGGUGGUAUGGUGUCGAUAAAAUUCUCUUUAUUUUAUGUGCUUCGAGGAACUCUAUUACCUUGCCACCGAUGAAUUUCUUUCCAUUAUAACAUACAAUCUCGGUAGGUAUCCUGAAUCGACAUAUGAUGUAGUCCCAGAUAAAGUCAAUAACUUAUUUUUCUCGGACCUUCUCGAAGGCUUGUGCUUCCACCCACUUAGAAAAAUAAUCAGUCAUAAACAAAAUGAAUUUAGCUUUACCUGGGGCCAUUGGUAGAGGGCUGACUAUAUCCAUUCCCAUCUCUUGAAAGGCCACGGGGAUAAGACUGAAUGGAGUUGUUCUCCGGGCUAAUGGAUCAUCGGUGCAAAUCGUUGACACUUAUCACAUUUUUUGACAAAUUCCUUAGUAUCUUUUUUCAUAAUGUUCCAGUAGUAUCCUGCUCUGAUAAUUUUGCGGACCAAAGAUUCAGCACCGGAAUGGUUCCCACAAAUUCCUUCGUGGAUUUCUCGUAGAACAUAAUCGGUGUCCCCUGGAUCUAAGUAUACCGCCAAUGCUCCAUAGAAUGUUCUUCGGUACAAUGUUCCAUCUUUGUCUAAUGCAAACGUAGCAGCCUUGGCUCGUAGGGCCCUCAAUUCUUUGUGGUCCGAUGGGAGUUUCCCAUUCUUCCAAUAGUCGAUAUACUUAUUUCUUUAAUCCCACGUUAAACUUGUUGAAUUUAUCUCGGCAUGACCCUCUUCGACCACAGACUUUGAUAGUUGGACGACAAUCCCCGGGACUAUGUCAUCUUCUUCGAUUGAAGAUCCUAGAUUAGCGAGUGCAUCAGCCUUGCUAUUUUGUUCUCGAGGUACAUGAUCCAGAGUCCACUCCUUGAAGCGGUGCAAAGUUACCUGUAGCUUAUCCAAGUACCGCUGCAUUCUAUCCUCUCGAACCUUAAAACUUUUGUUUAUCGGAUUUACCACCAACACAGAAUCACACUUGGCCUCGAUGACUUCUGCUCCCGAGCUUUUGGCUAGCUUGAGACCUUCAAUCAUGGCCUCAUACUCGGCCUCAUUGUUAGUUAAUCUAGGAGUUUUGAUAGAUUGCCUAAUGGUAUCACCCGUGGGUGGAUUUAAAACAAUGCCGAGCCCGGACCCCUUCACAUUCGAGGCGCCUUCCGUGAAAAGGGUCCAAACACCCGAUGUUGUACCUGUACUUAGCAGGAGUUAUUUCUCCACUUCGUGUACGAGGGUCGGCUUAAAAUCGGCCAUGAAGUCAGCUAGGAUUUGAGACUUGAUGGUCGUUCGGGGUUGAUAUCUGAUAUCAUACCCGCUAAGUUCGACGGCCCAUUUGGGGCAAUCGGCCCGAUAGCUCGAGCUUAUGCAAAACAUUUCGAAGGGGGUAGGUAGUUAGUACACAUAUGGGAUGGCAUUGAAAAUAUAAUUUUAACUUUAGAGAUGUGCUUAUCAAUGCAAGUGCUAAUUUUUCUAAGUGAGGGUACCUAGUUUCAGCAUCUCCUAGAGUUCGACUUACGUAAUAAACAGGAAACUGCGUACCUUGCUCUUUUCGAACUAGUACCCCACUUACCGCUAUCUCGAACACUGCCAAGUAUAGAUAAAGUUUUUCAUAUAUCUUCGGGGUGUGAAGCAAAGGUAGGCUCGACAGAUAUCGCUUUAAUUCUUCUAAGGUUUGCUGAUAUUUCGGGGUCCAUGCGAAAUCCUUUUUCUUUUUGAGCAAGGAAAAGAACCGGUGACUCCAAUCUGAUGACCUUGAAAUUAAUCGACCCAGAGAAGCUAUUCGGCAUGUUAACCUUUGCACGACCUUCACAUUAUCCAUGACCGUGAUGUCCUCGAUGGCCUUGAUCUUAUCGGGGUUAAUUUUAAUGCCCCUAUUCGACACCAUUAAACCGAGGAACUUACCUAAGCCUACUCUGAAGGCACAUUUCUCCGAGUUGAGCUUCAUGUUGUAUUUUCUCAAGAUUUUGAAUGUUUCCUGCAAAUGAGUCAAAUGGUCCUUUGUGCGCAGGGAUUUAACCCAUAUCAUCAAUGUAAACUUUCAUUGUUUUACCUAUUUGUUCUUCAAACAUUUUGUUAACUAGGCGUUGGUAUGUGGGCCCCGUAAUUUUUAGCCCAAAGGGCAUCACAUUAUAAUAAUAAGUCCCAAAUUUUGUAAUAAACGAAGUUUUUUCAUGAGCUUGAAGUGAGUGAAGUUCUGUGGUUGUUUUUUAUUGUUCCAGGUAUAUUCAUGAGCUUGAAGUGAUAAAAUGGGCUUGUAAUUUGCUGAUUUGGAAUGGGACUCUCUUGUUCAUUUGGCUAAAUCCUUCUCUUCUAUUGUUCAUGAUAUUGUUUCAGCUUUGUUUAAGUAUUGUCAACGCUAACUUAGUAUAGGUGGAUGGUUUAAGCAUUUAGGUUGUUUUUAGCUCAUUCAUAAGUGUUUAACAAUUUGCUAUACUUAGUAAUUGUAAUUAUUCGGGACUGUUUUUCAAAGGUUUGUUGAAUGUAAACUCAUGCAUUUGUAUUGUUAAGCAUGAUUAUAGGUGUAGAUCUAAUGUUAAUCUUUGAGUGAAUUUCAGAAAUUGACCCUUUGUCGAGAUUAAUAGCAUGCUUAUUGGGACCAUUGUAAGAUUAACAAGUAGUUUCAUAAUCUAGGAUCUUAUUCUUAGUAUGAAUAGUAACAUUGAUUUUUAAGUUCAUAAUAUGGUUAUUUAGGUGUUGUGAUUCUCAAAACUUAUUUAUUAUGCUAUUGUGAUUUUUGACUAAGGAAAGUUUUAAAUGUUGCAUUUUUAGCAUAUUUAAUCUCAAGUUAUGCUUUUAAUCUGAUUAAAAUUGUGCAAAGUGACUUGGGAUGUCAUGGGGUAACACAACUGUUGGGUUUCGAAUGGGACUUAACAUAGGCCCAAAUCGAGCAGCCCGGUCUCAAGCGGGGUCCUUCAGCUUUGGUGUAGUUGUUUCGUUUCCCCUGUGAAGUUUCAUUUAAUGCAUUGCCUGAGCUCAAGAUGUUCAUGUGGUCAUUUUUGUUUCAAGCUAUUGCAGCAAGUCUCACAGCUGGGCCUUGUAGUUGGCUCAGUUCUGCCCAAAUGCCUUUGCUGAUCCCGAUUAGCUUGGGCCUCCUCUUGAGCCUAAUUCCCCUUUAAAUGUCAUCUGUUGUUACUGCAAGUCUGGAACUUGUUCCCCUCCCCCCCCCCACCCCAAACGUUAAGUUAGUACAGUACUUUGCAUAGGCUGCUUAUAGUAAUGUUAGAUAACAUUUAAUUUAGACAAGAAUUCAAACUCCUUUAGACCUCUUUAUUAAGCAUGAUUCUUUUAAUUAGAUUGAGGUGUGCCAUAUCAAACAAGACCUAUAAUUUAUGGCCCUCAUAAGACUAGAUCAAGAAAUCACUUGAAGAAAG